Molecule: ribosomal RNA, 442 nt
Filed under: uncultured bacterium
Lineage: Bacteria
Description: partial 16S ribosomal RNA
Rfam family: Bacterial small subunit ribosomal RNA
Source: RNAcentral
CCUACGGGCGGCAGCAGUGGGGAAUAUUGGGCAAUGGGCGUAAGCCUGACCCAGCAACGCCGCGUGAAGGAAGAAGGCUUUCGGGUUGUAAACUUCUUUUUAUAGGGAAGAGCAGAAGACGGUACCUCUUGAAUAAUCCAUGGCUAACUACUUGCCAGCAGCCGCUGGAAUACGGAGGUGGCAAGCGUUGUCCGGAUUUACUGGGUGUAAAGGGCGUGUAGCCGGGAAGACAAGUCAGAUGUGAAAUCCCGCGGCUCAACCGCGGAACUGCAUUUGAAACUGUUUUUCUUGAGUGCCGGGAAGGUAAUCGGAAUUCCUUGUGUAGCGGUGAAAUGCGUAGAUAUUAGGAGGAACACCAGUGGCGAAGGCGGCUUACUGGACUGUAAAUGACGCUGAGGCUCGAAAGCGCGGGGAGCAAACAGGAUUAGAUACCCUUGUAGUC